GAGUCCCGAGCCUUGAUCCCGUAUCCCCGGGCUGCCUGGCUACUCCGGCGGGUGGGCGGCGCCCGGGGGCGCGGGGACACCAAAGGGCGGGACCCCGGCCGAGAGCGCCUUUUGGCGGCCCCUCCGCGCUGUGACCCGUCCCCGAUUGAUCCCCGCACCUUUGCCCACCAGUCCCAGCCCCCUGGAGCUGAGGCCAGACACUUCCCACUGCUGCCGGCGGUUACCGAUCGCUUUCAUUAGCGCCCCUUUUCCUGCUCUGCUGACACACUGAGGCCACGUCCUACACCAUCACCACCACCCACAGGCCUUUGCCGGCCACGUCUCGACUCCCCCGAUCGUUACUGCCACUUCCCAGGCCACAGCCUUCUCUGGCCACAUCCCAACACUUGCCCUGUCCCCGACGGACCAUUAGCGGCUUCUUCUGGACCUUUCAGAGAUAAGCGAGUGGACCUUGGCAGUGUAGGGCCCAGUCCUAUGGGAACAAGGGAUGGGGGUUUCAGAUUGCAGUCCUUGGUUCCACGGGCUUAGAUGCCGCCUCCACAGGCACCCGGAUAUGAAUAUGACCCUAGGGAGGCCCACCCCAGGGUAUCCAGAGCUGAGAAAAGACAGAGGUUUUACAGGCCAUCAAAGAUUCGGUGGUGUCCUCUCUAGGGACUUCCCUCUACCAGAGGAGCUUAAAAAAACUCUCUUGUGUUCCCAGGAGGAUGGCAGAUGGUGAGCAAGCUUUCGAAACCAUGUCGCUGGGGACAUUAAGCUUGGAGAAAGUGACAGUAGGGAUACAGUUUUGAAGUGACCAAAGGGUUGACUUGUGGAAGGAUGAGACCUUGUUCUGUUUUCCUGGAGAGUGUGUGGAGGUUACUGCGAGGCCCGUUUCAGCUUGGUGGAAGGAUAAAUUGAACACUGAGAACUGCCUAUCUCUGGAGGGAGUAAGCAAGAGCCAGUCCAGGGUCAAGGGACUGAUGUUUGAAGGGAAAGCUUCAAAACUUUUUAAAGAAACCUUCAGAAUGGCUUUGAACCCGACAAGCUAGACAUCGCUUCAGAGCACCGCCUUCAGCAUGCAUCUGCCCUGUCAGGCUUCCCUGGCAAAGGGGUAGUUCUUUGAAGGGGUCGUUCUGCAGACGGCCAGGGAAACGAUGCUCACGGAACCAGAUUGGUGGAUUUGACUUUCUGGUAGAAUUCUCUUGCUUUAUUGAUUUUUUUCCCAGAGCUCUGAGAGGCUGGAGGUAUUGAUGGGACCGAAGGGCCUGGAAGGAAGGGAAGAAGCAUUUUCAUGCUGAAUGAAAACUAGACAAGUGACUGUUGGAGACUGAAAACACCUAAACGUCCCACAUCCGGAUUCAGCGGAGGAACUGUCACUGCUGGGGAGAAAGAAGCCAGACUGGAAAAGAAAACCCAAAUAAAGAGAAUGAGGGCCACCGAAGAGUAAAUGGCCACCUCCACCUCGACAGAGACCAAGUCAGCCUCCUGGUGGAAUUAUUUUUUCCUUUAUGAUGGUUCCAAGGUGAAGGGAGAAGGAGAUCCAACCAGAGCUGGCAUCUGUUACUUUUUUCCCCCUCAGACCCUGCUUGACCAACAGGAGCUGCUCUGUGGACAGAUCGCCGGGGUUGUCCACUGCAUUUCUGACAUUUCCGGCUCUCCUCCCACCAUCGUCCGUCUGCGGAAACUUAAGUUCGCCAUAAAGGUUGACGGCGAUUACCUUUGGGUGCUGGGCUGUGCUGUUGAGCUCCCUGACGUCAGCUGCAAGCAGCUUCUGGAUCAGCUCAUCGGCUUCUUUAAUUUUUACAACGGGCCUGUUUCUCUGGCCUACAAGAGCUGCUCUCGGGAAGAACUGAGCAGGGAGUGGGACACCUUCAUUGACCAGAUCCUGAGAAACACCGGUGACCUGCAUAAGAUAUUCAACUCCCUCUGGAACCUGGACCGAACGAAAGUGGAGCCCCUGCUGUUGCUGAAGGCGGCCCUCGUUCUGCAGACCUGCCAGCGCUCGCCCCACGUUCUAGCCGGCUGCAUCCUCUAUAAGGGGCUGAUCGUUAGCACCCAGCUCCCACCCUCUGUCACAGCCAAGGUUCUGCUUCAUCGAGCUGCACGUCGGGACCAGAGAAAACCUCUAGGAGGGGAUGCCCUGCAGGAACACGGAGCAGCACUCCCUCCAAACGUCCAGAUUGUGCCUGUUUUCCUGACUGAAGAGGAAGCUGUCAGUCUCCGUGAGUUCCCCCGGGAGCCCACGACCAGCACUCUGGCAUCUCCAGCCAGACUCCCGGAGCCCCCAGCCCAGCGCCCUCCAAAGGGUUUGAACACAUCUGCCCUGAAAGAAAACGCCCCCAGACACGUGGAAUCCACGGCUCGGAUCUCAGCGACCAGCCCUGAGCCCACGUCUCCUGACGUCACCCGGCCAAAUGGCAGGGGGGAGAACGGACACUGGUCAGACUGUGAUCUGAAAAGCAUCAAGCCCCCAACACCGCACCACGCUGCCGGGGGCCGGGGGCCUGGGCUCGGCCUCUCCCUGGUGAAGGAAACCGGUUUGUCCAGGGGGGAAGAGGAACUGGACUUGUCUGAAAUCCACGUUCCAGAAGCUCAGGACACGGGAGCAUCCUUGGGUUAUUCUGCCUCCGCCGGCGGGCCUCCUGGCUGCAGGGCAUCUGUCAGUGACUCUGGCAACCCCGGAAGCCAGCCACCCGAGGCCCUGCCUGUGGGCACGGCCGUGGAAGGCCCCCUCCCUCCCUCCACUGCUGAGAUGCUCACCCAGAAUGGAGCCCUAGAACGGCCCAGAGACCUCCCUGGCAACAGCAGCCAAGCCCCCGUCCCCAGGGACCACCUCCUCAGCCCGACGAGCGGGCCGUUGCCGUCGCCUUGCUUGGAUUUGAGGCAGACGGGGUCUGAGCUGCCCGUGGGGGAACAAGGUGAGGGGCAGCACAGCGAUGGGGUUCCUGAGGGCCGCUCAGCCUCCAGCCCGGAACGCGCCUCGGGCUCGGCAGACCCCCCAGGCGACGGCCCCUGCGCAGACAGAUCCGGAUCCAGGGCGACCCCCGUGUCCCUCGCGCGGCUCGUGCGGAUGAACCUCUACACUCACAGCGUCAGAGGCCUGGCGCUGCUGCUGCUGGCCGAGGAGCCGCUGCUGGGAGAUGGCGCGGCCGUCGAGGACGUGUACCACGGCAGCCUGGCGUCCCUCAAUGGGCUGGAGGUGCACCUGAACGAGACGCUGCCCCAGGACCAGGCGGCCCCCGCGGCCAGAACCUAUGGCUUCGCGCACUACGACCGCAUCCAGAACGUGCUGGCGGGCAACCUGCCACAGGUGGCUACAGCCCAGGACCGCCGCUUCCUCCAGGCCGUCAGCCUGAUGCAUGCCGACUUUGCCCGGCUGCCCGCACUGUACGAAGUAACCGUCAGGAAUGCCUCCACGGCUGUGUACGCCUGCUGCAGCCCUGUCCAGGAAACCUAUUUCCAGCAGCUGGCGCCGGCGGGGCGGAGCUCCGGCUUCCCGAGUCCGCAGGACAGCGCCUUCAGCCUCCCGGGCAAAGCCAAGCAGAAGCUGCUGAAGCACGGGGUGAACUUGCUUUGAACCGUGGGUUCGUGACCCCAGCAGAUGACUCUCACAUCGAAUCCCAGCAAAGGAAGCUCUGCCUUGUUAAAUGGAAAAGUCCCACUAUUUUGUUUUCCUUGGAAUAGUCCCUUGUUUUUAGGAAUGUAAUGAUAUUUAAGUGUUUGUUGCCCCUUCUGCAGAUUGGCGUUGGAGGAGGUAGCUCUCCGGGUCAGCAGACCUAGAGCACAUGGUAAAGAACUCGAUGAUGUGGGCAGCACUGCGGCCAGACUGGGUGCCUUGGUCCUUACACCCAAGGGGCACAGGGCCAGUGAGCCCCCCGUCACACUGAGCCCCGGGCGCCUGACAUUUCUUGCUGCUGUUCCACCCCAGCCUUAACUAGGACCACAAAAUCCCAGCCUGGCCAGGUGAGGAAGAGCGCAUGACAGAACGGUCCAUGCGAGGGUGGCGUGCUGUUCCAGGGAGCACCAGCUUCAGCGUGGCUGGACCGCACGCCAGGCCCAUGUCACCCUUUCUGUCACCUCUCUGGGGUCCCUCCUGCCACUGGCUGGCCUAAGAGGUGAGCUUCCCAGAUGGAGGAGGACCACACCUCAAGCUAGGAGAAAUGUACAGUGUCCUACUUCUCUGCCUGAUUCUCCAAGGAAAAGUCCCUUACAAAUCCCGGGGCCAAGCUCUCACGGAACAUUCCCGUGACUGCCUUACACAGAACAUGUUCCUUUCUGUCCUGAGGUAUCUUCAAGCAUCCACACUUUUUUCCUCUUGCCACUGAUGCUCCAGAAUCGUGAGAUCUCCAAGUCCUGAGUUUGGUGAAAUUCUGACCUGUUACGUGUUGACACAGGGACAGAACCUGGAGCCCCUGAGCCCAUUUUCAUCUGCGCCCCCGGUACCUCAGCUAACUACCUGGGCUCAAGGACUCUUCCAAACAACAUCUGCUUCACAAGGAAAUCUCCUGCCUGUCUCUGAGCCCUUUCCUGGCUGUCAGGCCAUUGGCGGAGCUUAAUCUCCUCUGUUUUGCUUUCAGAAACCUCUCUUCCCAUCUAAUUUCCCAGGGCUGCUGUUGAGCCUAAAAUGUGUGUAAUACAAAAUGCUUGUUCCUGAGAAUCAGUGCUCGAGGCAGCCCGGUGCUUCCCUCUGAGCUGAGUCUCAGCGAUCACAGGUACGAGGUCCUGUGAUCUCGGGUCCGCACAGCAGAAUGUGAGACCUGCAUGUGACGGCCAUUUUGAAAUAAGUCCACAAUUUCUUUGCUACAAAUUAGGGACCUGAUUCUCCCCCUUGAGUGUGGGCUGUACUUAGUGAUUCGUUUUAAUGACUAGAAUGCGGCAAAAAUGACAGUGUGACUUCUGAGAGUAGGUUAUGAAACAUCACAGCUGCCACCUCUCUCUCAGUUCACCUGUUUUGGGGAGAAGCUGACAUCCCGGCAGCCCUAUGGAGAAGCCCUCGUGGUGAGGGUCUCCUGCCCACGGCCACGUGAGUGAGCCUUCUUGGAAGCAGGUCCCCCAGCCCGGGUGCCUUCAGAGGACUGCAGCCCCUGCCGACAUGUGACUCAGCCUCGUAAGAAACAGCCAGAACCAUCAAGCCGAACCACUUCUGAACUAGCCCUCAGGCAGCGUGGGAGACAAUAAAUGUGUGUUGUUUUAAGCCACUCCUGGGGUGAUCUGUUACAGCAACAGACAGUACACUCACAAGCCCACAUCUUAGCCCCCGACCAGGUUCCCUGCAGCUUUGGCCCAGGGACCCUUCAGCCUCGGUCCGUAUCCAGCCACCAGCACCCGCCGGGCCGCACCACUAAGGAAGGAACCGAGCGCUCCCUCCCCUUUCUUCCCGCCAGUUCCAGAGUCCGAUCCUUCCCACGGGGGCGAGCCCCACUCCUCCACACCCGUGCCCCCAGGGACGGCGGUGUCUGCAGGAUGCCCUGGUUUACGGCACACCCCCCAUCAUCCAGGACGACUGCCUCCCGCCAGUGAGCGGGGAACAUGGGAGGACGGAGAGCAGUGAGAGGCUCUGUGAACCUCAGGGAAAAAGGUCCCAGGGUGUGAUUAACAGUGGCAAUCGACCAGACUCCUGCCGGGAAAGGCUCUCUGGUCCCCGGAGGGAUGUUGAGCCUAAUCAAACUGCCUCCCGCUGGCAGGAAGCAUCUAGGCUUAUGGCUCUUGUCACCUUGACCGUACAGCCAGUGGGGACUGGCUCUUGGUUGCAGUCACCGUCUCCCGAGCGUUGAAGCCCCAUGGUGGGCCUUUCUCAUGUGGCCGAGACGCUCUGCACACUCCCCCAGUUACUGCGUUCCUCACACCCAUCCUGCAGGAAGUGGGGUGCGGCUGCUGCCCGCUGGGUGUGCAUCCUCACACCGGACCACAGGCCCUGUGUCGUGGGCCCAGCAGUGGCCCCCAAAGAUGCCAACCAGGCCCUGUGAGCGUUGCGUCGUGUGGCCAGGGUGGCGCGGGUGCGACUGAGGAUCUUGAGAUGCAGGCCA
Molecule: RNA transcript, 6005 nt
Organism: Orcinus orca (killer whale)
Lineage: Eukaryota; Metazoa; Chordata; Mammalia; Artiodactyla; Delphinidae
Gene: HPS4
Gene name: HPS4 biogenesis of lysosomal organelles complex 3 subunit 2
Exons: 15
Source: RefSeq, a predicted model, not a curated record